GGGGAAUAUUGCACAAUGGGCGAAAGCCUGAUGCAGCGACGCCGCGUGAGGGAUGGAGGCCUUCGGGUUGUAAACCUCUUUCGCUCAUGGUCAAGCCGCAACACUGGUUGUGGUGAGGGUAGUGGGUAAAGAAGCGCCGGCUAACUACGUGCCAGCAGCCGCGGUAAUACGUAGGGCGCGAGCGUUGUCCGGAAUUAUUGGGCGUAAAGGGCUUGUAGGCGGUUGGUCGCGUCUGCCGUGAAAUCCUCUGGCUUAACUGGGGGCGUGCGGUGGGUACGGGCUGACUUGAGUGCGGUAGGGGAGACUGGAACUCCUGGUGUAGCGGUGGAAUGCGCAGAUAUCAGGAAGAACACCGGUGGCGAAGGCGGGUCUCUGGGCCGUUACUGACGCUGAGGAGCGAAAGCGUGGGGAGCGAACAGGAUUAGAUACCCUGGUAGUCCACGCUGUAAACGUUGGGCACUAGGUGUGGGGGCCACCCGUGGUUUCUGCGCCGUAGCUAACGCUUUAAGUGCCCCGCCUGGGGAGUACGGCCGCAAGGCUA
RNAcentral lists this ribosomal RNA (541 nucleotides) under uncultured bacterium. RNAcentral's name for it is "bacterial SSU rRNA". It matches the Rfam family "Bacterial small subunit ribosomal RNA", at positions 356 to 896 of the family's 1533-position model. The record is from RNAcentral.